RNAcentral lists this ribosomal RNA (253 nucleotides) under uncultured bacterium. Its description in RNAcentral is "partial 16S ribosomal RNA". It matches the Rfam family "Bacterial small subunit ribosomal RNA", at positions 524 to 776 of the family's 1533-position model. The record is from RNAcentral.
UACGUAGGGUGCAAGCGUUGUCCGGAAUUAUUGGGCGUAAAGAGCUCGUAGGCGGUCUGUCGCGUCGGCUGUGAAAACCCGGAGCUCAACUCCGGGCCUGCAGUCGAUACGGGCAAACUGGAGUACUGCAGGGGAGACUGGAAUUCCUGGUGUAGAGGUGAAAUUCGUAGAUAUUAGGAAGAACACCAGUGGCGAAGGCGGCUCACUGGCCCGGUACUGACGCUGAGGCGCGAAAGCGUGGGGAGCAAACAGG